UGGGGAAUAUUGGACAAUGGGCGCAAGCCUGAUCCAGCCAUGCCGCGCGUGUGAAGAAGGCCCUUUGGUUGUAAAGCACUUUAAGCGAGGAGGAGGCUACUUGGAUUAAUACUCUAGGAUAGUGGACGUUACUCGCAGAAUAAGCACCGGCUAACUCUGUGCCAGCAGCCGCGGUAAUACAGAGGGUGCGAGCGUUAAUCGGAUUUACUGGGCGUAAAGCGUGCGUAGGCGGCUUCUUAAGUCGGAUGUGAAAUCCCUGAGCUUAACUUAGGAAUUGCAUUCGAUACUGGGAAGCUAGAGUAUGGGAGAGGAUGGUAGAAUUCCAGGUGUAGCGGUGAAAUGCGUAGAGAUCUGGAGGAAUACCGAGGGCGAAGGCAGCCAUCUGGCCUAAUACUGACGCUGAGGUACGAAAGCAUGGGGAGCAAACAGG
RNAcentral lists this ribosomal RNA (430 nucleotides) under Acidobacteriota bacterium. Its description in RNAcentral is "Acidobacteria bacterium partial 16S ribosomal RNA". It matches the Rfam family "Bacterial small subunit ribosomal RNA", at positions 355 to 776 of the family's 1533-position model. Lineage: Bacteria; Pseudomonadati; Acidobacteriota. The record is from RNAcentral.